CUUGAACGCUGGCGGCAGGCCUAACACAUGCAAGUCGAACGAGUGGCGGACGGGUGAGUAAUGUCUGGGAAACUGCCCGAUGGAGGGGGAUAAGUACUGGAAACGGUAGAUAAUACCGCAUACCAUCGGAUGUGCCCAGAGGGGAUUAGCUAGGAGGUGGGGUAACGGCUCACCUAGGGGACGAUCCCUAGCUGGUCUGAGAGGAUGACCAGCCACACUGGAACUGAGACACGGUCCAGACUCCUACGGUAGGCAGCAGUGGGGAAUAUUGCACAAUGGGCCAAAGCCUGAUGCAGCCAUGCCGCGUGUAUGAAGAAGGCCUUCGGGUUGUAAAGUACUUUCAUCGAGGAGGCGUUACUCGCAGAAGAAGCACCGGCUAACUCCGUGCCAGCAGCCGCGGUAAUUC
Molecule: ribosomal RNA, 406 nt
Filed under: uncultured bacterium
Lineage: Bacteria
Description: partial 16S ribosomal RNA
Rfam family: Bacterial small subunit ribosomal RNA
Source: RNAcentral